GCACUGAAAAGAAUAUAAUUCAAUUUUUAUUUAUAUUUUUAUUAAAUAUACUUUUAAGUCCAUCUUUAAAAAGGUGUUAAAACUUUUAUCUGAAAAAAAAAAUUAUUGUAACUCGCCUUAAUUACUUACUUAUAGGCUGCACUUUGAUUUGUAUUUUCCUUUUGUAGAGGAAGAAUUUGCCUUUGGCAAAUCCUAGACAACGGUAUACAAGCUAUUUAAAGUAAGGAGUAUUUACUUGGUGGUUGUCAAUUAUAUGGUAAGUUCCCCUAAAAAUACCUACAGCCGCCAUAAUAUUUAAGUUUGGACCUAAUAGUAAGUAUUAAUCCUUGUCUUAUGAAUUUAAUUUCCGUAUAACUGGGUAUCUAAUCCGGGUUUAUAUAUGGGAGUUUAGUAUGAUCAACAAUAUGGUUAAAGCUUUAGGCAUUAAUAGUAUUUCACUACAUAUAAAUUUUAUUUAUAUAUUUACAACUAAUGACAAUAAUUAUAAAUUAAUCUAUUAGGUUUGACCGCGGUUGCUGGCACCUAAUAAACCUAGACUAAACAAUUAGCUAAAUUUAAAUUUCUUUAAUUUAUUAAUACUUUUAACUGAGAAAAUUAUUUAUAGCUCAUAUUACACUAUGUUGUAUAUUUAUAAGUUCAUCAGAUUAAAGUGACUACUUAAGGGGGUAUCUACCAUUUUAGG
Molecule: ribosomal RNA, 682 nt
Filed under: Montenegrina nana gracilis
Lineage: Eukaryota; Metazoa; Mollusca; Gastropoda; Stylommatophora; Clausiliidae
Description: partial 12S ribosomal RNA
Source: RNAcentral